RNAcentral lists this ribosomal RNA (398 nucleotides) under uncultured bacterium. RNAcentral's name for it is "bacterial SSU rRNA". It matches the Rfam family "Bacterial small subunit ribosomal RNA", at positions 361 to 776 of the family's 1533-position model. The record is from RNAcentral.
AUACUGCACAAUGGGGGAAACCCUGAUGCAGCGACGCCGCGUGAGUGAGGAAGUAUUUCGUUAUGUAAAGCUCUAUCAGCAGGGAAGAAAAUGACGGUACCUGACUAAGAAGCCCCGGCUAACUACGUGCCAGCAGCCGCGGUAAUACGUAGGGGGCAAGCGUUAUCCGGAAUUACUGGGUGUAAAGGGAGCGUAGACGGUGAUGUAAGUCUGGAGUGAAAGGCGGGGGCCCAACCCCCGGACUGCUCUGGAAACUAUGUGACUGGAGUGCAGGAGAGGUGAGCGGAAUUCCUAGUGUAGCGGUGAAAUGCGUAGAUAUCAGGAGGAACACCAGUGGCGAAGGCGGCUUACUGGACUGUAACUGACGUUGAGGCUCGAAAGCGUGGGGAGCAAACAGG